RNAcentral lists this long non-coding RNA (343 nucleotides) under Musa acuminata (dwarf banana). Its description in RNAcentral is "long non-coding RNA (MACU_LNC003381)". Lineage: Eukaryota; Viridiplantae; Streptophyta; Magnoliopsida; Zingiberales; Musaceae. The record is from RNAcentral.
GACUAUUAUCAUAUCAUAUUUAACAAUUGAUGUCUUUCAUGACAUGAUUUCUUUGCAUUUUUGUCUUGUAUAUAUCAUGUGAUGAUUGAAAUAUUGAUUGAUGCAAAUUCAUAAUUUAUGUAAAAGUCUAAAUCAUUGGUUCCUCUCCUUCUUUUCGGCAAUGACAUAGGGGGAGAAAGAUUACUAGCUCAAGGCAAAUGCUGGCUAGCUUGUACUCUUCCCUUCUUUUCGACAAAAACAAAGGGGAGAAAGCUUUUGCUAGUUAGAACAUGCAAAGAAAAGCAAAGUGCAAUCUUGCACAAGAAGCAAGUGUUGAAUUGCCAUUAUUGAACUUAAGAAUCAU